Molecule: transfer RNA, 73 nt
Filed under: Mitsuaria sp. GD03876
Lineage: Bacteria; Pseudomonadati; Pseudomonadota; Betaproteobacteria; Burkholderiales; Sphaerotilaceae
Description: tRNA-Cys
Rfam family: tRNA
About the family: Transfer RNA (tRNA) molecules are approximately 80 nucleotides in length. Their secondary structure includes four short double-helical elements and three loops (D, anti-codon, and T loops).
Source: RNAcentral
CUUGGAGUAGCUCAGUUGGAAGAGCCGUGGGCUGCACACCCGCGAGGCGCAGGUUCGAUCCCUGCCUCCAAGC